Long non-coding RNA from Bubalus bubalis (water buffalo), 7829 nucleotides. RefSeq lists it as uncharacterized. The record is from RefSeq and is a predicted model, not a curated record. The transcript has 3 exons. NCBI's taxonomy places the organism in Eukaryota, Metazoa, Chordata, Mammalia, Artiodactyla, Bovidae.
UCCACGGGGUCACAAAAAGUUGGACAUGACUUAGUGAUUGAACAACCACAUAUAUACAAAUGGCUAAUAAGCAACUGAAAAAAAUGUUCAGCAUCAUGGGUCAUCAGGGAAAUGCAAAUCCAACCACGGUUCGGUGCUGUUAGUCCACACCCACUAGGUGAGCUUGGGUUGACAAGUGUGAUGGUAGCACAGGGUAAUGAGGAGGUGGAGAAAUUGGAGCUUUCCAUCCUUGAGCAACCUGGUAUGCUGCUGGUGGGAAUGGAAAUGGCACAACCACUUUGGAGAACCUUGAUAGUUCCUCAAAGGGUUAAACAUAGCAUUGCCCUAGGACCCAGCAAUUCUAGGUACUCAUGUAAGAGACAUGAGCAAAUAUGUCUGAGCAGGAACUUGUAUGUUCCUUGGAUGUUUAUGGCAGCAUUAUUUAUAGUGGUCAAAAGAUGGAAACAACUCAAAUGUCUAUCAACUGAUGAAUGAAUUAACAAAAGUGUCCAUGUGCCGGGCUACUACUUGGCUACGAAAAGAAAUGAGAUACUGCUAUGUGCUACAAUAUGGAUGAGCCUAGGAUAUUUUAUGCUAAAUGAAAUAAUCUAGUCAUAAAAGACUGAUUGAAUUUCCAUGAAAUUCCCAACUGAAAAGUCUUUAGAGACAGAAAGUCCCCUAUGGGUUGUUUAGAGCUGGGAAAAGGUGGGUGAGGAUGUAGGGUUGUAAAAACUAACAUGUGUGAUGUUUCCUUUCGAGUUGAUGAAAUGUUCUAAAAUGGACUGCGAUGAUGGUUGCAUUCCUUUUCACAGAUGUGAAUAUACUAAUAUCCAAUGAAUCGUAUGCUUAAAAUGGGUCAAUUGUAUAGGAGGAGAAAUACAUCUCAAUAAAGUUUCUAAAAAAGAAAAGGGACAGCUGUCUGCUGUAGCUGUUCCUAAUUUUCUCAUUCAGUCUGUUCUCUCUGGAAAGCAAUACCUCUUUUGUUUUUUUUUCCCUGUGGUUUUGGAUCUAUAUUUUAAAGGGAAGAGAUUCUUACUCCUUCUGAGCAAUUUAAAGCACAACAGGAUAUUGGAGACGAACAGUUAACAUAGUUCUUCACUCAGAAUCUUGAGUUUUCCCAGAGGAUUGUUUUAAUGACAUUUAUUUUCCAUCCUUGAGCUCUUCUGAGAAAUAAUGCAAUCUUAAGAAUUUGUAGCAAUGGAAAUUUGAUUCAAAACCACCCUCCUGACAGUUUCUUUGUGCUUUGCACUCAGGGAGGGUACCAUUUAGGAAACGGUGAGUGCAGACAGGGGUGAGGCUGGCUUCUUUGCAAUUGUCUUCUCUCCAGGACCUUAAACCCUUCAUGUCUUAGCAACCCUGAACUCCAAUUUUGUCUCCCAGCUCUUUGAGCUCCUGAGAACGAUGUUAGCCUUCUUGCCCUCAGCAAGUGGUUUCAGGGCAGCUUUUCAGUUUCUUGGUCUGUUGCUUAUUAAUUGGCAAAUUCUUUCAGCAGGAAUUCAGAUGUUGGACUGGUCCAAAUGGGGGGGUUUUCGUCUCACACCUGCGAGCUCCUGAAUCCUGGAGGCCUUGGUAUCUCUUGAUGCCGUCAAACAGAAGGAAAAAUCUAAUCCAGAUUUUCUAAUAAUUCUUGGCCAGAAGAAUCUGUCUUUCUAUAAGAUGCUACAAGCUAUUCUACAAGAAAGCCCUUUUGUUCCGAAAACAAAAGUUCAGUAUUUAUUUUGAAAGAGGUCAUUUAAUUUUUUAUAUUUAUUUAUUUAUCUGAAUGCAGGAUCUUUGGUGUGGCAUGUGGGAUCUAGUUCCUUGACCAGGGAUUGAACCCAGGCCCCCUGCAUUGGGAGAGCAGAGUCUUAACCACUGGGCUGCCAGGGAAGUUCCAAAAGAGUUAAUUUAAAUGUAUAAAUGAAUGUCAAUGGGGAGAUAUUGAUAUCGUCUCAGGCACGUUCUCAGUCUGAACAAACUUUAAUGAGUCUGUUCCUUGUUUACACCUUCAUAACAUUUUUUUGUUUCCAUUAUAUAGGUCCUAUACUUUUAUAUUAACUCUAUUUCUAGGCAUUUACAUGCUUUAUAGCCUUUAUGAAUUUCUUUUAUUCUGUGGUGUUUUAUUGUUAGCUCUUGUGUGUGUGUUGGAAACAUGGAUUUUUCUCAACCAGUUUUAUAAUUGUUUCUUUGGCUGAAUUGCCUUAUUGUUUUCCAUAUUUAUUCAGUUGGUUAUCUUGGCUUUUUACAUAGAUAAUCACAGCAAUGCAAAAACAGAAAAAAAAAGAGAGAUGUAAUGUGCUUUUUUUUUCCUUUUCCAUAUUUACAGUUCUUCAUUUUUAAAAUUAUUUGAUUGAUUUUCUAGAUCUUUCAACACAUGCCAAGUAAUAGUUGGGAUGGUAAACACUGUUUCACUUUUUUCCCCCUGAAUUUAAUGGAAAUGCUGAUGCUUAUAGUUAACUUGUUUAAACAUAAUUUAUUUUGGUAAGUGCAUAUUUCUGAUUCUCAGCUUAAUAGGAAUUUUAACCAAGAAUUUAUAUUACAUAUUACCCAAUGUUUUCAAUCUUUAUCUGAUGCUGCUGCUAAGUUGCUUUGGUUGUGUCCGACUCUGUGUGACCCCAUGGACAGCAGCCCACCAGGCUCCUCUGUCCAUGGGAUUCUCUGUUCAAGAAUAUGGGAGUGGGUUGCCAUUUCCUUCUCCACAAUCUUUAUCAAGAAGACUUAAUUUUGUUAUACCUUUAACCAGUUACUCUGGGGAAUCCUAUCAAUAGUUUUCUUAAUAUUGACUCAUUCAUUUUGUAAAUGAAAUAAAGGUCAGUUUUGGGAAAGUGGCAUUCUUUUGAUGUUGAUGGGUUAUUUAUUUAUUUAUUUUUGACUGUUUGGGGUCUUUGUUGCUUUGAGGGCUUUUCUCUAGUUGCCAUGAGUGUGACGACUCUCUAGUCGUGGUGUAGGGGCUUCUCGUCGCGGUGGCUUCUCCUGUUGUGGAGCGUGGGCUCCAGGGCAUUAGGGCUUCCCUAGUUGAGGCACACUUGCGUAGUUGCUCCCCUGCAUAUGGGCUCUUCCCGGACCAGGGAUUGAACCCGUGUCUCCUGCAGUGCAAGGUGCGUUCUCCACCCCUGAGCCACCAGGGACGCUCCUUCUUGGCUUAUUUUUGCUUACAUUUUAUUAAGGCUUUUUACAUUUUAUUAAGGUAUUUACAUUUGUAAAUAAGAUUGAUUUUUAGGGGGGGGUGUGUGUGUGUGUAGGAUGGAAAAGUGACAUGAAUUCCAUCCGUAUUAGUACAGAGAAAACAUUAGCUUGUUUCUCUGGGGUACUGUAUGGAUAUUCUCAUUUUCUGUACAGUUGGCAGUUUUCAUGUAAGGCACACUGCUGGGCAAGUGACUGCUGGAAAUUGUAAGACAGUUCACAAUCGAUUGACUUAUCGGCCUGACAUAAUUGGUAGUGACGUUUAGACGCUGUCAUUCACAGUCUGAUCAGUGGACUCCAAAAUUUAACUCCACAUGUUUAGAAUUUCAAGUGGAUCUUGUCUGGAAUUUAAAUUGGUCCUUUUCUUUUUGGAAUUCCAAAUGGAGCCAAGAAGAAAGCAAAAACAAAACUUUAAAAUGCCCAGGCUUUAUUACUGCACUCAGAUUUACAGCGUAAAAUCUUCAACCCACUGAUCCAUAGAGGGCAGGCAUGUAGGUUUAAGAGCUGGAGACGCAUGGAAUCAUCUUGAGGCUCCUACACAAUUUAUCAGAACCUGAAUCUCUGAGAAAUAUACGGUGAGUCCCCAUCUCCGAUGGACUGCAGCCAAGACACAUUUCCUAACUGAAUGAAAAAUCAUUCCCUUUAUUCUUUGUGCUCCUUUGGUUUCCAUUAGGUAUAUCCCAGGAUAACUUUAUUGCCUGCCAAAUUAAGACUAACAACAAGAAAACCAUUCUCCAAGAGUGCCUCCCUAAGACUUAUAGCAUCUUUCUAUACUCACCCUAUUCAUCUUAGAGCAAGUGAACAUUCACUUUACUAAAUCAGCAACUCGGCUUCAUAACUACCAGAAAGGCUUUCAUUACCCACAUAGACAGGGGAUGUCAGUCUUGCAAGGUUAAAUUAUGGGUGCUUUUCUCAUUCCAUUCCCAAGGAGGUAAUUCAAGGAGUCAAUUACAAUGUAUGGGUUUCAAAGUAGAUUUCCAGCAGGGGGAGCCCCUGCUUGGAUAAUAGAGUGUUCCUUUUAUCUUCGUUAAAAUGCACAAAGUGAAGAUUUUGAAUAGAAUUCAUUAGCAUAAUUUUUCCACCUCCAGCUCCAUUUGUAGUCAAACGCUCUAUCACUGAGCUCCACUCCCCACCAUUCCAGCUCUAUGUGUAGACUAAGCACAUAAUUUUUUUUUUUUUUUUUUGGCAGAAACGAACCAAAUGACUAUUUCUAUAUCUAGACCCCAGGGCAGGAAUUGCCCAGGGUUCAGGACCCUGGCUUUGGUGCCUGGUAAUUGGCCAUCCCUGUGGCUCAGGUGGUAAAGAAUCUGCUUGCCAGUGUAGGAGACCUCCUGGAAUACAGGAGACCUGGGUUCGAUCCCUGGGUCGAGAAGAUCCCCUGGAGAAGGAAAUGGCAAUUCGCUCCGGUAUUCUUGCUUGGGGAAAUCCCAUGGACAGAGGAGCCUGGCUCAGUCUAGGCCUCACUAGUCCCCUCCAGAGGGGCAUUCUGAGCCCUGUGGUGGGAAUGAAUUGAAGGUGGUGGAGUAAGAGCCUGAGGUUCAGAAUCAGAUGCCUAACGUUCAAAUCCCAGCUUUUCCAUUCACUGACUGUCACUUGGAUGCAUUGUGCAACCUUUCCAAGAGAAUGCCAGUAUUUACUAUACAGGGUUGGAUACUGAAUAUCAGGUGACAUAAUGCUGGCAAAUAAUAAGAGCCUUAUAAUAUGUUAGGCAUUAUUGCUGUUGUUGCUUUUAUUAAACCCAACUUGCCUUUGGGGUCCUAAAUUCUUGCCCUGAGAUCCUCUAAUUCUGCUUCACCCUUGCAGCUUGCUGACAACCGUAGGAAGAAUAAUUAGGCAAUUGUCAUGUGUAAUACUCUAUAUAAUUUUUCCCCCACUUUACAUUGUGUGCAUAAUUUUAUCAUUUGGUAUCAAAGGGAGUUGAAGAGUUCUCAUACCAUUCUCCUGUUCCCAAAACACUGGGGCAGAGGGUGUGGGAAGGACAGAGUGUUCAGAGGGUGAACACAAGAUCUCAUUUUAGUUGUUGAGGAAAAUGUCUUAGAAAGCAAAACCCACAAAGACAGAUCCAAUGCUGCCUUUUCUUACUUCAAGGCACUGGAACCUUUUUUUAAUUAGGGGAAAAAAAUCUCCUGUAAAUAUAUGUACACCAAUGUAAUCUUAUAAAUUCUUGUCUGAUACAAACUAAAAUCAUUAGCAUAACCCUCAAUAUCCAGUUUCAGAUUUUAAUCCAUAUGUUCUGGGCUGAACUGGUUAUCUUCAAUUGGUCUCUAUUGAUUGGACUUCUCCUGAGAGUUACUCUCAUUUCUGGUUUGACAAAAGAAACAUUUGCUGUUGUUAAACCCCCCCUUUUUUUUUUUCCUAUUGAUUUUGCCCUUUUUCCUUUAAUCUCUUACGUGAUCUGCCUUUUGGGUGAAGGACGUUCCAGAGGUCUGGAGGGAAUGAAAUAGGGUUUGCAAGAGGAGGGGUUGUUGAGUUGGGGGUUAUUUUUGCAGACACCCCCCCUAGAAAGAGGUGUGGAAAGCCCCCUCUCCUUGUAAUUCUUCACUUUGAACUGAUGGAGGUGGAUGCGGAGGGGGAACCUGAGGUUGCAAAAGUAAAUGAUUGUUUUCUGGGAGCUCUAGCAGCUUCCAGUGGGGAGAGACAGCCAGUUCAAAGGAUCAGGACCACUUGGACACACCCAGCUGUUCCCAAACGCCACGGCCACCACUUUCUAAAAAUGAAGUGUUAAGACACCGGGAGGAGAAAAGAGAUGUCUGCCUUUUAGCUGCUAAAUGUGGACUCACCAUCACUCGUUGUAGGCGGGUAGCAAGCACUGGGAAGAUUAAACUGACCUUUGUUUUUGCAUAAAUACAGAACCAGCGAAAGUGUGUAUUCUCAAGUGGUUUCGAUCUGCAUUCUCCUGCCCAGAAAUCAGCAGCCACAUGUGUCCACUGGGCGCUUGCAAUGUGGUCGGGAGGAGAAAUGACUGGCUUCACGGAUGUGUUGAAGAGGACACUAAAGCUGCUGGGUUGGUUUCGGAAUGAGUUUCUCUGUGGAAGGCCCAAAUGUGGACUCGCUAGUGAAUCAGGAGAGCUGCUGCUGGAUGAAGGGUCCCUCUCGAUAAGCUCUCAGUUUUCAGGCGUUUCACCAGGUAACAUGGAUCUGUCACGGGUCUUAAGUCUGGGUGCCCAGAUCAGACUCAAGGAAAACUGGCAGAGACAUUUUGUGUAUUUCACAGUCAUUCUCAUCAGAUGCCUUGAACAUGGAGCUCUGGAAACAGCCAGCUUUUAAAAUUCAGAUACUGGCAUCUACCGAUGUACUUUCUGACUCUAUGAAUUUGACUAUUCUAGGUACUUCAUAUAAGCGGAAUCAAACAGUAUUUGUCUGCAUCUACUAUAUAUUGGAAUACAUUUUAAGGCUUAACCCUAUUAUAUAGUUGUGUAUUAUGCAGUCUUCUAAAGCUGUAAUAUAUUAUAUAAUUCAUUCAUCAAAAAACUAGGGAGCCCUGUAUGUUAGUGGGUAUUAUACAUAUAUGCACACACAGUAGAAUUCAUUCAUCAGAAAAGUUAGGGAGGCUUCUCACAGAGAGGAAAGUUGGUGAUCUCUGUUUUGAAAGACGUUCUAUCUACAGGUACGCUCAGAGCAGUGCAGGCCAUGGGGCUGCAACCUCAGCUGCUCGAGCAGCCCCAGGAAGACGGGGGGCAGAGGGGCUGUGGUCCCUGGGAGUGAUGGCAGCGGACAGGCGCCAAGCUGCCAAUUCGGGGAUUCCCUUGAGGUCCAAUCUGUCCCUUUACAUGUCCAGGUGAAUUUUAAAACCAAUUUCCUCCUUAAGAAAGAGGAGCAACAGCUCAGUGAGGUGUGGACAACACUGAUAAGCAUGAGGCUAGUAACUGCAGGGAAUCAUAAAGACAGGUUAGGGUCAUCCUUAAUGGACUGAGAGACUUCAAACCCAGGAGAAAUCUCGGAAAGGGCCAGAGCUGAAGACAAAAGCAAAAAAGGAGAGGUAUUAAGGCUAAGAAAGUCCGAUAUCUCUCAGAGCGACAGUGACCACAACCCACCACCCCCAACCUUGUACCUGCAAGGGUUCAUUCACCACACACACUUGUGUAACCCAGCAAGGACUCAGCACUUACAUACACCAUCUCACGAGGUGAAUAUCUGUAGCCCCAUUUUAUUUUAUUUUUAAAUUCUAUAUUGAAGUACAGCUGAUUUUGGGCUUCCCAGGUGGCUUAGUGGUAAAGAAUCCGGCUGUCAAUGCAGAAGACAUGGGUUCGAUCCAUAGAGUUGUAAAUUCCAUAGGGCUGCAAAGAGUUGGACAUGACUGAAGAGACUUAGCAUGCAGGCAGGCAAACAUGGCCAGGUUCAGGACAUGCAAGCCCCGAACAUGGCCCCUGGGCACACAAAAUGUUUUUGACCAAAAGCAUUUGAGAAACAGUGGGUACAGGAAGGAAGUAUCUUGCUGGUGGAUCACUACAACCAUUCACAUAACAAAUGGCCAUUUCUGAUGAACACAAGAAGAAUUGUAGGUGUGGGUAGAUACAGGCUAACUUGCAUGAUUUGGGGGAGAAUUUUAAACUUAUCCAUAGAGGUUCUGCACCUGACUUAUGGUUCAUUUUUCAAAAUUUUUAGCUUACAACUUGAGAAGGGGUGAGGACAGUCAUUUAAGAUGUAUUUUUAUUUUCUACACUUUUUUUUUCGCCACAUGGCUUGUA